RNAcentral lists this ribosomal RNA (462 nucleotides) under fungal sp. FA-5. RNAcentral describes it as "eukaryotic LSU rRNA". The stretch from base 142 to 295 matches the Rfam family "5.8S ribosomal RNA". The record is from RNAcentral. Lineage: Eukaryota; Fungi.
ACAACUCCCAAACCCCUGUGAACAUACCUAUACGUUGCCUCGGCGGAUCAGCCCGCGCCCCGUAAAACGGGACGGCCCGCCCGAGGACCCCUAAACUCUGUUUUUAGUGGAACUUCUGAGUAAAACAAACAAAUAAAUCAAAACUUUCAACAACGGAUCUCUUGGUUCUGGCAUCGAUGAAGAACGCAGCAAAAUGCGAUAAGUAAUGUGAAUUGCAGAAUUCAGUGAAUCAUCGAAUCUUUGAACGCACAUUGCGCCCGCCAGUAUUCUGGCGGGCAUGCCUGUUCGAGCGUCAUUUCAACCCUCAAGCUCAGCUUGGUGUUGGGACUCGCGGUAACCCGCGUUCCCCAAAUCGAUUGGCGGUCACGUCGAGCUUCCAUAGCGUAGUAAUCAUACACCUCGUUACUGGUAAUCGUCGCGGCCACGCCGUAAAACCCCAACUUCUGACUCUUGACCUCGGAA